Molecule: long non-coding RNA, 210 nt
Filed under: Ornithorhynchus anatinus (platypus)
Lineage: Eukaryota; Metazoa; Chordata; Mammalia; Monotremata; Ornithorhynchidae
Description: lncRNA (ENSOANG00000037902.1)
Source: RNAcentral
UGAUAAGUUUCGUGGCUCCGUCUCAUUUACAUUUCCUUGUCGCUUUCAGGCAUGUUUCUACAAGUAGACAUUGAUGAAUACAACACAGGCAGAACAUACUGGGCUCACUGGAGGUGGCCAUUGAAAGACGGAAACGAAUGCGAGGAAGGCUUGUUCAUCAGAGAGGAGGUUUUCUUGCUGCCUUUAAUAAUAUUGAAGUCUCAAGUCAUU